UCUCGAUAGAUAGAAAACGCUGAAACAACUCCCAUGAGCGCAGCCACCGCCCCGCCGACGCCGCCGCCACGCAGCCGCGGCCGCCCCCCGCAGCCGACGCCCCGCCGACGCCGACGCCCCGCAGCCUACGCCGCCGCCACGCAGCCGCCGCCCCGCAGCCGACGCCGCCGCCCCCUCCCCCCGUCGCGAGUCACCGCUCGUCGGUACGUCGGCCCGUCGCGGGGACUCAGCACGAGGGCGCGCACCUCGGAGCUGCAGCAGGCGCCCGCCGCCGCGGCGUCUGGCAUCGCGACCCAAAAGGUCACCGUCCACGACCGGGAGCGCGGGGUCGUCCACGAGUUCAUCGUGCCCCAGGACCACUACAUUCGGCAUACCGCGGACAGAACAACUGAAUUAAGCAAGAUGAUGCAUGUUGGUAUUCUGUUUUGCUGUUGUUGAAUUGACACAAGUAGUUGCUGCAUUUCAGAAUUCAGUUAGUACUUAACCUUGAAAUUCGCACUCCACCGCGAGGCGCCGCCCGGUUGGUCCAUCGCGGGGACUCACGGCCCCGACCUCUCCGUCGCCGCCGCGAGUCGCCGCCCGUCGGCCUGCCUGCCUUCAGGUGGCAGAUCAAUGUCAACUAGCUUGGUGAGAUCUGCAUGAGCGUCAAUGUUCUCAACAGUGGCUACUUUCUUCGCUGUGCGUUCACAACGAACCAUCGUAGCAGCCUUUUAUGGGCGAAGUGGUGCAAGCGCUGAAGCUGAUUUACAACGAUGCAGAAGAGGCCGGCGGUGAUUCACGGCCACAGGAAAUCAUCGUGUGACCUAGACGAUGACUGACAAGGGGGCUUUGUCUUUGACAGUGACAAUGGUAGCUGGUGGCAUAGCGGGGGCUUCCGGGCGUCUAGACUACCAGAACAACUCACCAUUUAUAAACAUGGAGUACAGCUCUGGCAGAAUAGAAACAAGGCAGGAGCGUGAUGACCCUUAUUCGACAGAGUCCCAGUGACCCUCUAGUUAGGCUGAUGUUGUCAUCUGCCUUGAGCUGCAUCCUGUCCCAGAAUAGUCAGGACACUGAAAUUUGGAUGAACUCUGAAUCUUUCAGGUGUAGACUUGAGUGGACUGCUUUGGUGUUGUAACAGAUAUAUGAAUGCCAUUCUGUUUUAGCCCA
Lolium perenne is the source of this 1149-nucleotide long non-coding RNA. RefSeq lists it as uncharacterized. NCBI's taxonomy places the organism in Eukaryota, Viridiplantae, Streptophyta, Magnoliopsida, Poales, Poaceae. The record is from RefSeq and is a predicted model, not a curated record.